GCCGAAGUGGCGGAAUUGGCAGACGCACUUGACUCAAAAUCAAGCGGGUUCACGCUCGUGCCGGUUCGAGUCCGGCCUUCGGCA
Molecule: transfer RNA, 84 nt
Filed under: Phascolarctobacterium succinatutens YIT 12067
Lineage: Bacteria; Bacillati; Bacillota; Negativicutes; Acidaminococcales; Acidaminococcaceae
Description: Phascolarctobacterium sp. YIT 12067 tRNA
Rfam family: tRNA
About the family: Transfer RNA (tRNA) molecules are approximately 80 nucleotides in length. Their secondary structure includes four short double-helical elements and three loops (D, anti-codon, and T loops).
Source: Rfam by way of RNAcentral